GACGAACGCUGGCGGCGUGCUUAACACAUGCAAGUCGAACGGAAAGGCCCUGCUUGCAGGGUGCUCGAGUGGCGAACGGGUGAGUAACACGUGGGUGAUCUGCCCCUUACUUUGGGAUAAGCCUGGGAAACUGGGUCUAAUACUGGAUAGGACCAUGCUGUAGGUGGUGUGGUGGAAAGAUUAGUUUCGGUAAGGGAUGAGCUCGCGGCCUAUCAGCUUGUUGGUGGGGUAAUGGCCUACCAAGGCGUCGACGGGUAGCCGGCCUGAGAGGGUGGACGGCCACAUUGGGACUGGGAUACGGCCCGGACUCCUACGGGAGGCAGCAGUGGGGCAUAUUGCACAAUGGGCGCAAGCCUGAUGCAGCGACGCCGCGUGGGGGAUGACGGCCUUCGGGUUGUAAACUCCUUUCAGCCAUGACGAAGCCCUUGUGGUGACGGUAGUGGUAGAAGAAGCACCGGCUAACUACGUG
Molecule: ribosomal RNA, 469 nt
Filed under: uncultured bacterium
Lineage: Bacteria
Description: partial 16S ribosomal RNA
Rfam family: Bacterial small subunit ribosomal RNA
Source: RNAcentral